This 672-nucleotide ribosomal RNA is filed under the name Cortinarius eufulmineus. RNAcentral's name for it is "eukaryotic LSU rRNA". It matches the Rfam family "Eukaryotic large subunit ribosomal RNA", at positions 1 to 653 of the family's 3401-position model. Lineage: Eukaryota; Fungi; Basidiomycota; Agaricomycetes; Agaricales; Cortinariaceae. The record is from RNAcentral.
GUGACCUCAAAUCAGGUAGGACUACCCGCUGAACUUAAGCAUAUCAAUAAGCGGAGGAAAAGAAACUAACAAGGAUUCCCCUAGUAACUGCGAGUGAAGCGGGAAAAGCUCAAAUUUAAAAUCUGGCAGUCUUUGGCUGUCCGAGUUGUAAUCUAGAGAAGCAUUAUCCGCGCUGGACCGUGUACAAGUCUCCUGGAAUGGAGCGUCAUAGAGGGUGAGAAUCCCGUCUUUGACACGGACUGCCAGGGCUUUUGUGAUGUGCUCUCAAAGAGUCGAGUUGUUUGGGAAUGCAGCUCAAAAUGGGUGGUAAAUUCCAUCUAAAGCUAAAUAUUGGCGAGAGACCGAUAGCGAACAAGUACCGUGAGGGAAAGAUGAAAAGAACUUUGGAAAGAGAGUUAAACAGUACGUGAAAUUGCUGAAAGGGAAACGCUUGAAGUCAGUCGCGUUGUCCAGGGAUCAACUCUUGCUUUUGCUUGGUGUAUUUUCUGGUUAACGGGUCAGCAUCAAUUUCGACUAUUGGAAAAAGAUCAAGGGAAUGUGGCAUCUUUAGAUGUGUUAUAGCCCUUGGUUGCAUACAUUAGUUGGGAUUGAGGAACUCAGCACGCCGAAAGGCCGAGUGUUUAACUACGUACGUGCUUAGGAUGCUGGCAAAAUGGCUUUAAUCGACCCGUC